Molecule: long non-coding RNA, 1497 nt
Organism: Bos taurus (domestic cattle)
Lineage: Eukaryota; Metazoa; Chordata; Mammalia; Artiodactyla; Bovidae
Source: Ensembl
AGCGGGCCGGCGCCGAGGGGCCCUCGCGGCUGCGUCUUCCCGGCUGGCGGGCAGCGCGGGGCUCACGGCCGGGGCCACAGCAGGGGAUCUGAGACCCGCCCCCCGGAGAGCGGGUGGCGGGAGAGGUCUUCUGACCCUCACCGGCUAAGAACAAUAAAAUUGUCGUUUAGUCGCUCAGUCCUGUCCCACUCUGUGCGACCCCGUGGACAGUAGCCCGCCAGGCUCCUCUGUCCGUGGGAUUCUCCAGGCAGGAAUACUGGAGCGGGUUGCCACGCCCGCCUCCAGGGGAUCUCCCCCACCCGGGGAUCGAACCCGCGUCUCCUGCAAUAGCGAGCAUAUUUACCCCUGCGCCACAGGCGAAGCCCGAGUGACACGUACGCAGUAUCAAAAUGGCCUUUCUGAGAGCGGAUUCGUAUAUCUGUCUGACUGAGUCCCUUCGCUGUACACCUGAAGCUGAUACACAGCACAGACCUGUGCAACAGUCUCCAGCCUCCCCAGCCAGCGGGAGAGAUUCUUUAAUGUCUCAGCCAGCAGAAAGCCCACAAGUUAGGCACCCUGGACAAGACCCCCAUGCAUAAGAAAAUGUUCGUGAGUUACCUUCAGCCUAGAAAAUAAGAAAAAGUGAGAAAAACAAGAUCCAGAACAAGAUACGAACUUCCAAGAAGUUGACGUGCACUUAAGACAAGUGUGUGACUUAGAAGUGGGAGUCUCCUGACCUCUGGAUGUUUCAUGUGGCUGCUGCUGCUGCUAAGUCGCUUCAGUCGUGUCCGACUCUGUGCGACCCCAUAGACGGCAGCCCACCAGGCUCCCUCGUCCCUGGGAUUCUCCAGGCAGGAACACUGGAGUGAGUUGCCAUUUCCUUCUCCAGUGCAUGAAAGUGAAAAGUGAAAGUGAAGUCACUCAGUCAUGUCCAACUCUUAGCGACCCCAUGGACUGCAGCCUACCAGGCUCCUCCGUCCAUGGGAUUUUCCAGGCGAGAGUACUGGAAUGGGUUGCCAUUGCCUUCUCUGGUUUCAAGUGGAUUCUGAGAAAAAUGUCUGCUUCUUUAAUUAGAUGGAAAUGUACACAACAGAGAGCUUUGCAUCAGGUCUGGCAUUUAGUGCAUGACUCCCGGGGACAUUCCAAGCUGGGUUGUUGACCUAUUUUUCCUCUGGACCCCAAGCUGUGUUAACUCUUUGAUGACUUCUAAUCAGGAAUCAACGAUCCCUGUUAGAAAUGCCCAUCUUGCUGCCCCCUUAUCUCCCUUCCUUCCUCAACCACUGUUAUUUCUUACUUUUUGUGUUGCUGUUAUUGUUCCGUCACUAAGUCAUGUCCGAUUCUUUGAGACCCCAUGGACCGCAGCACGCCGGGCUUCCCUCUCCUUCAUCAUCUCCCAAAGUUUGCUCAAACCCUUGUCCAUUGAGUCAGUGAUGCCAUCCAACCGUCUCAUCCUCUGUCAUCCCCUUCUCCUGCCUUCAGUCUUUCCCAGCAUCAGGGUCUUUCCCAAGGAGUCGACUC